This is a long non-coding RNA of Scleropages formosus (Asian bonytongue), 1637 nucleotides long. The record is from Ensembl. NCBI's taxonomy places the organism in Eukaryota, Metazoa, Chordata, Actinopteri, Osteoglossiformes, Osteoglossidae.
AUGGCAGCAAGCAGUCUUAAAAUGCACACAGUUCACAGCACAAACCCCACACUAAAGAGAACAUUAGCCAAAACAUAUUUCAAAUUAAUACAGUCCGUGCACCGCUUAAUCACAAGAGAGGGAUGCCUUGAAAAGGGAGAUUUACCUAAAAGUGUGUUGAGACAGGUUACGAAAUCAACCUAAUUUUAAAGUUUCAACACCACCUGCAAUUCCACACUAGAGCCAUGAGGGGACGCGAUCACACCACAACAAAGAAACUAAAACAUGCUCUGACAACAGGUGGGACUCUUGCUCCACCUCUCCCCCACAAGUAGACACCCCACAGGCGCACACAUGCACGCACAAACGCUUUUACACACCUCCCAGCAAUGCCUCCUUCACCAGCAUCGCACUGACCGGUACGGGACCACACAUGGAAGGAGGCAGAGAAGGCACGCCUGGACACACGGGAAUUACAAUCUCUUCUGGUGAACAAACCGACACGCACCUGGCGAGGGACAGCCCUGGGUUCUCGAGGACUACAAAAACCUCCAGGCGCUGCAGCAGAGACUGGGGGCAACGCAUCCGUCACCAGCAUCGCACGGACCGGCACGGGUCCACACGUUGAAGGAGGCAGAGAAGGCGGCCCUAGACAAACAGGGAUUACAAUCGCUGCCGGUGAAGAAAGUGACGCGCACCUGCUGAGGGCCGGCUCUGGGCUCUCGCGGACGACAAAGACCUGGUCCAGGUGCUGCAACAGAGACAGGGAGGUAAGACUGGGCUUCAUCUAUACCGGGCAACUUUCUGUAUUGUCUUUCAGUGUUGAUGUGAUUGUGUAUGUUGUUCUCUACCACUCCGAAUAGUUGAGCCCAACAUUGUGCUACUUACUGAUAUUUAUUAAUACUAUUUAAAAAAGAAAAAGGAAAAAAAAAAAAAGGUGAAAAAUGGUAAGUUUGCAGAAUAGAUUUGAUGUUUGAGUGCAACAAAGGGACAUGAUGGCAGCAAGCAGUCUUAAAAUGCACACAGUUCACAGCACAAACCCCACACUAAAGAGAACAUUAGCCAAAACAUAUUUCAAAUUAAUACAGUCCGUGCACCGCUUAAUCACAAGAGAGGGAUGCCUUGAAAAGGGAGAUUUACCUAAAAGUGUGUUGAGACAGGUUACGAAAUCAACCUAAUUUUAAAGUUUCAACACCACCUGCAAUUCCACACUAGAGCCAUGAGGGGACGCGAUCACACCACAACAAAGAAACUAAAACAUGCUCUGACAACAGGUGGGACUCUUGCUCCACCUCUCCCCCACAAGUAGACACCCCACAGGCGCACACAUGCACGCACAAACGCUUUUACACACCUCCCAGCAAUGCCUCCUUCACCAGCAUCGCACUGACCGGUACGGGACCACACAUGGAAGGAGGCAGAGAAGGCACGCCUGGACACACGGGGAUUACAAUCUCUUCUGGUGAACAAACCGACACGCACCUGGCGAGGGACAGCCCUGGGUUCUCGAGGACUACAAAAACCUCCAGGCGCUGCAGCAGAGACUGGGGGGUAAGACUGAGGUCCUUCUGUACCGGGCGACCUUUCUGUAUUGUCUCUCGCUGUUGAUGUGAUUGCAGACAGCAACGUACACACCACUCUGAAUAGUUGGGCCCAAC